This 2092-nucleotide long non-coding RNA is filed under the name Daphnia pulicaria. RNAcentral describes it as "uncharacterized LOC124313612". The record is from RNAcentral. Lineage: Eukaryota; Metazoa; Arthropoda; Branchiopoda; Diplostraca; Daphniidae.
AUGUCACAAUUAGUUUCUAGAUGGGGUUAAUCAGUAUUUGACUCUAUGAACACUAGAGGGACUCUUGUUGUUCUCGUGUGUAGUCAUUUUUGUGCCAGUAAGCCCGCUGCUGCUUUUGAAAAACUGAUAUGAAAAUUGCAAUAUGCAAAGCAAUUCUCUCUGAAAGUAUCUUUUCUGAAUUUUGUAUUUCUCGAUAAAACAUUCAAAUCUACACAUGCUCUCUUCACUUUUACAAGAUAAACUGUUCCCCCUUGGCACAUUGGCACUUGUCAAUCAUAGAGUAAGUGGCGCAACUCCCAAGUGACUGUCUGGUUCGCCUUGUAGAGGAUUGUGGUGCAACACAAAGUUAGGCGUGAUCACGUAAUGAUCUCCCACCAGUCGGUUGGAAGGCGAACAACAACAACAAGGUGAAAACGACUCUACUCGACAAUCUGUCGACGAACUUGUUUGGCAUCAACUGCCUAAACAAGUUGAAUCCUGAGGGACAGACUGUGAGAUUGAACUGGCAAUUAACUGCUGGAUCUUUGAAAGUCUAUCCAGCCCUUGACUAGCUGACAUGGAUUUUUAGAAGGGAUGACCCGUUAUUGAACUACAACAAUUCGACAAUUAAUAAGGAUUCGGUACAUAACCGAAUACAAGCCAAUGGUAAAACCUAAUCGAAUUGAAGAAUCCCAUCAACGAUGCCAUCAAACCUGAGAGAAAAACUUGUCGAACAUCACGUAGUUCCUCUCCUGUAACAAAAUACGGGAAGCAUGUAUCGGGUCAUAAAAUAAUUGACCCCAUGUAGUGGAACAGUUCAGAUGUCAAAGUCUAGCGCAUCCAAAUCAGCACGUGAGCCACAUUGCAUCUGUCAUCUGUCCUCCGACUCUUCCCGGCCGAUAGUCUGUAACUAUAAAAGGCAACUGGAAAUGUUAGAGAAGACAUCAAUUAGCUGACUGAUACUUCCAGAACUAAACUCUUCUUCUACUACUCGUAUAGCAAUGGCUUUCAAACUAGCCCUUCUCUUGGCCGUUGUCGCUUUCGCCAGCGUGUCUGCAACCACCACGACCACCGUCUCGGCCAAUGAUGACAGCGAGGGUGGACUCUCGUUGAGCGCUCACGACCGCAGUGUCAUCCGCAAGACCUGGGACCAGGCCAUAUGGAGAGACGGAGAUGUUCCUCCUCAGAUUCUUUUCCGCUUCAUUAAGGCCCAUUCCAAAUACCAGAAGAUGUUCAGCAAGUUCGCCAGCGACCCCCAAAACGAAUUGUUGACCAACGGAUAGAAAUCACCAAAUUUGGAAAGCCAUCCGCUCACCAUAGAGGUGAAAUGCACGGACGAAGAAAUCAAGGAGAUAUUACAUAAUCUCAACUCUGAAGUCGCUGCUGUCGUCGAUGAACCCACUACCGCCUAUAAGUGGAAGAAUCACUGCGCUGCUAUGCUUCAUCUCAGCUGCUUCUUUUGGUUAGUGGCCACGUCCAUUCCGACUGGCGGAUUACGCCCGUUCUCUCGAUGUGAUGGAAUAUUACAUCAUUAUGCUGAGCACCAUGGGGAUAGGAGAUCUCAUAUAUGCCGUUUAGUUAUAGGGCUGCUCAUCACCGUUUGGAAAUUAGACGUCACGAAAUUGUACGCCAUCUCGCAGAUUAUAUAAUUGCCUGCGCCAUAACAUUAGCCGCGGCCAGGUGAUUAUCCAAGGUUUCUUAUUCAGCGUGACUUUCGGCUGUCAGUGUUUGUUUCUCGCUCUCGUUCCGCGUGCGCUUUUCGGAAGCGAAAAUUUGAAUCGAAUCUUCGGCGUCUCUAUGUUUUUCGGAGGGAUUGCUGGCAUUCUUAUUGGUCCACCGAUCGUAGUCAGGACUUAUUGUGGAUAUCACGCCAGGUCGCUUUUAUUGGUUGACAUUUGUCUUCGCUUCUGUCAUGGAACUUUUAUCGGCGAUCGCCACAAUAGGCGCGCUGUUCUUCACCAAUCGAAAAUGGAGUCUUUCCAAAAAUUGAAUAAUUUCCGGUUUGUUGAAAUUAAGUGAGAUUUAUUUUUUUCGUUAGUUAAUUCGACAUUCUCCACAUGUUAUGGGCAAUUACAGAUUUUUUUCAAAAAUAGAUUCUAGGAAUUUUGCGGUC